ACGGGAGGCAGCAGUGGGGAAUAUUGCACAAUGGGGGAAACCCUGAUGCAGCAACGCCGCGUGAGUGAUGAAGUAUUUCGGUAUGUAAAACUCUAUCAGCAGGGAAGAAGAUGACGGUACCUGACUAAGAAGCACCGGCUAAAUACGUGCCAGCAGCCGCGGUAAUACGUAUGGUGCAAGCGUUAUCCGGAUUUACUGGGUGUAAAGGGAGCGCAGGCGGUCCUGCAAGCCAGAGGUGAAAACCCGGGGCUCAACCCCGUGAUUGCCUUUGGAACUGUAGGACUUGAGUACUGGAGGGGCAGGCGGAAUUCCUGGUGUAGCGGUGAAAUGCGUAGAUAUCAGGAGGAACACCGGUGGCGAAGGCGGCCUGCUGGACAGAAACUGACGCUGAGGCUCGAAAGCGUGGGGAGCAAACAGGAUUAGAUACCCUGGUA
RNAcentral lists this ribosomal RNA (434 nucleotides) under uncultured Lachnospiraceae bacterium. RNAcentral's name for it is "bacterial SSU rRNA". It matches the Rfam family "Bacterial small subunit ribosomal RNA", at positions 341 to 792 of the family's 1533-position model. The record is from RNAcentral. RNAcentral also lists the same sequence under 1 other name. Lineage: Bacteria; Bacillati; Bacillota; Clostridia; Lachnospirales; Lachnospiraceae.